GAGUUUGAUCCUGGCUCAGAUUGAACGCUGGCGGAAUGCUUUACACAUGCAAGUCGAGCGGCAGCGCGGGGCAACCUGGCGGCGAGCGGCGAACGGGUGAGUAAUGCAUCGGAACAUGUCCAUGUCGUGGGGGAUAGCCCGGCGAAAGCCGGAUUAAUACCGCAUACGCCCGAGAGGGGAAAGUGGGGGACCGCAAGGCCUCACGCGAUUGGGUUGGCCGAUGUCCGAUUAGCUAGUUGGCGGGGUAAGAGCCCACCAAGGCGAUGAUCGGUAGCUGGUCUGAGAGGAUGAUCAGCCACACUGGGACUGAGACACGGCCCAGACUCCUACGGGAGGCAGCAGUGGGGAAUUUUGGACAAUGGGGGCAACCCUGAUCCAGCCAUUCCGCGUGAGUGAAGAAGGCCUUCGGGUUGUAAAGCUCUUUUGUCCGGAACGAAACGGUGCACGUGAAUAUCGUGCGCUACUGACGGUACCGGAAGAAUAAGCACCGGCUAACUACGUGCCAGCAGCCGCGGUAAUACGUAGGGUGCGAGCGUUAAUCGGAAUUACUGGGCGUAAAGCGUGCGCAGGCGGUUUUGUAAGCCAGAUGUGAAAUCCCCGGGCUUAACCUGGGAAUGGCAUUUGGGACUGCAAGGCUUGAGUGCGGCAGAGGAGACUGGAAUUCCUGGUGUAGCAGUGAAAUGCGUAGAUAUCAGGAGGAAUACCGAUGGCGAAGGCAGGUCUCUGGGCUGACACUGACGCUCAUGCACGAAAGCGUGGGGAGCAAACAGGAUUAGAUACCCUGGUAGUCCACGCCCUAAACGAUGUCGACUGGUUGUUGGGGGUUUGACACUCUCAGUAACGAAGCUAACGCGUGAAGUCGACCGCCUGGGGAGUACGGCCGCAAGGUUAAAACUCAAAGGAAUUGACGGGGACCCGCACAAGCGGUGGAUUAUGUGGAUUAAUUCGAUGCAACGCGAAAAACCUUACCUACCCUUGACAUGUCCGAGAGGCCGCAGAGAUGUGGCUGUGCCCGAAAGGGAAUCGGAACACAGGUGCUGCAUGGCUGU
This 1049-nucleotide ribosomal RNA is filed under the name agricultural soil bacterium SC-I-66. RNAcentral's name for it is "bacterial SSU rRNA". It matches the Rfam family "Bacterial small subunit ribosomal RNA", at positions 9 to 1052 of the family's 1533-position model. The record is from RNAcentral.